AUCAACACAUUUAUAUUUCUAGAUGCUGCACUUUGCUGUUUCAUUACCCAGACAGCUGUUUAAGGUCAGACCAAGGCAGAGUGUAGUAUCAGUACUUAGGGGUCAUAGGUCAUACCAAGGCAGAGUGUAGUAUCAGUACUUAGGGGUCAUAGGUCAUACCAAGGCAGAGUGUAGUAUCAGUACUUAGGGGUCAUAGUGGUCAUGGCUGAUAUACAUGGACUAGAAAACAAACUUUAAGACCAUUUUUCUAAGAUUCACUGUUUGUGUAGAUGCUGUUUGUCUCUUUAGGACUGUAGUUCAGGUGGCUGUUUGUGUAGAUGCUGUUUGUCUCUUUAGGACAGUAGUUCAGGUGGCUGUUUGUGUAGAUGCUGUUUGUCUCUUUAGGACUGUAGUUCAGGUGGCUGUUUGUCUUUGUAGGACUGUAGUUCAGGUGGCUGUUUGUCUUUGUAGGACAGUAGUUCAGGUGGCUGUUUGUCUUUGUAGGACAGUAGUUCAGGUGGCUGUUUGUGUAGAUGCUGUUUGUCUUUGUAGGACAGUAGUUCAGGUGGCUGUUUGUGUAGAUGCUGUUUGUCUCUGUAGGACAGUAGUUCAGGUGGCUGUUUGUGUAGAUGCUGUUUGUCUUUGUAGGACAGUAGUUCAGGUGGCUGUUUGUCUUUGUAGGACAGUAGUUCAGGUGGCUGUUUGUCUUUGUAGGACAGUAGUUCAGGUGGCUGUUUGUCUUUGUAGGACAGUAGUUCAGGUGGCUGUUUGUCUUUGUAGGACAGUAGUUCAGGUGGCUGUUUGUCUUUGUAGGACAGUAGUUCAGGUGGCUGUGUGUCUUCGUAGGACAGUAGUUCAGGUGGCUGUUUGUGUAGAUGCUGUUUGUCUUUGUAGGACAGUAGUUCAGGUGGCUGCCCUUGCACUUAGUCUGCCUCCUGCCCCCCCAUCGUCAUGGUUACACCUUCCUGAAUACAAUGACUCCCAUACUUUGCUGAAACCUGUUCUGCCAG
Long non-coding RNA from Oncorhynchus tshawytscha (Chinook salmon), 989 nucleotides. NCBI's taxonomy places the organism in Eukaryota, Metazoa, Chordata, Actinopteri, Salmoniformes, Salmonidae. The record is from Ensembl.